GAUGAACGCUGGCGGUAUGCCUAACACAUGCAAGUCGUACGAGAGUUUUUGACUCUAGUGGCGGACGGGUGAGUAACACGUGAGAAUUUACCUUUAGGAGGGGGAUAACAAUUGGAAACGAAUGCUAAUACCCCAUAUGCUUUUGAGUGAAAUGGAUUUAUAUUUAUCCGCCUAGAGAGAAGCUCGCGGCUGAUUAGCUUGUUGGUAAGGUAAGAGCUUACCAAGGCGACGAUCAGUAUCUGGUUUGAGAGGACGAUCAGACACACUGGAACUGAGACACGGUCCAGACUCCUACGGGAGGCAGCAGUGGGGAAUUUUCCGCAAUGGGCGAAAGCCUGACGGAGCAAUACCGCGUGAGGGAAGACUGCCUAUGGGUUGUAAACCUCUUUUUUCAGGGAGGAAUAAAAUGACGUUAC
RNAcentral lists this ribosomal RNA (416 nucleotides) under uncultured phototrophic eukaryote. RNAcentral describes it as "bacterial SSU rRNA". It matches the Rfam family "Bacterial small subunit ribosomal RNA", at positions 28 to 478 of the family's 1533-position model. The record is from RNAcentral.